GUAGGUGGCAAGCGUUGUCCGGAAUUAUUGGGCGUAAAGCGCGCGCAGGCGGUUCUUUAAGUCUGAUGUGAAAGCCCACGGCUCAACCGUGGAGGGUCAUUGGAAACUGGAGAACUUGAGUACAGAAGAGGAAAGCGGAGUUCCACGUGUAGCGGUGAAAUGCGUAGAGAUGUGGAGGAACACCAGUGGCGAAGGCGGCUUUCUGGUCUGUAACUGACGCUGAGGCGCGAAAGCGUGGGGAGCAAACAGGAUUAGAUACCCUGGUAGUCCACGCCGUAAACGAUGAGUGCUAAGUGUUAGGGGGUUUUCCGCCCCCCUUAGUGCUGCAGCUAACGCAUUAAGCACUCCGCCUGGGAGUACGGCCGCAAGGCUG
Molecule: ribosomal RNA, 373 nt
Filed under: uncultured organism
Description: partial 16S ribosomal RNA
Rfam family: Bacterial small subunit ribosomal RNA
Source: RNAcentral